This 67-nucleotide transfer RNA is filed under the name Mus musculus (house mouse). RNAcentral's name for it is "tRNA-Gly". Lineage: Eukaryota; Metazoa; Chordata; Mammalia; Rodentia; Muridae. The record is from RNAcentral.
GAGUGUAGCUUAGUGUUAGAACACUUGCCUACCUUGUAGGAGGUUCUGGGUUCAAGCCCCAGCAUCA